RNAcentral lists this ribosomal RNA (402 nucleotides) under uncultured bacterium. Its description in RNAcentral is "bacterial SSU rRNA". It matches the Rfam family "Bacterial small subunit ribosomal RNA", at positions 355 to 774 of the family's 1533-position model. The record is from RNAcentral.
UCGGGAAUUUUGGGCAAUGGGCGAAAGCCUGACCCAGCAACGCCGCGUGAGGGAUGAAGUAUUUCGGUAUGUAAACCUCGAAAGAAUGGGAAGAAUAAAUGACGGUACCAUUUAUAAGCUCCGGCUAACUACGUGCCAGCAGCCGCGGUAAUACGUAGGGAGCAAGCGUUGUUCGGAUUUACCGGGCGUAAAGGGCGCGUAGGCGGCGCGGUAAGUCACUUGUGAAAUCUCUGAGCUUAACUCAGAACGGCCAAGUGAUACUGCUGUGCUAGAGUGCGGAAGAGGCAACCGGAAUUCUUGGUGUAGCGGUGAAAUGCGUAGAUAUCAAGAGGAACACCUGAGGCGAAGGCGGGUUGCUGUGCCGACACUGACGCUGAUGCGCGAAAGCCAGGGGAGCAAACG